GUCGUGAGAUGUUGGGUUAAGUCCCGCAACGAGCGCCAACCCUAUUGUUAGUUCGCCAUCAUUCAGUUGGGCACUCUAGCGAGACUGCCGGUAAUAAACCGGAGGAAGGUGGGGAUGACGUCAAAUCAUCAUGCCCCUUAUGACCUGGGCUACACACGUGCUACAAUGGUUGGUACAACGAGUUGCGAGUCGGUGACGGCGAGCUAAUCUCUUAAAGCCAAUCUCAGUUCGGAUUGUAGGCUGCAACUCGCCUACAUGAAGUCGGAAUCGCUAGUAAUCGCGGAUCAGCACGCCGCGGUGAAUACGUUCCCGGGCCUU
This 318-nucleotide ribosomal RNA is filed under the name uncultured Streptococcus sp. Its description in RNAcentral is "bacterial SSU rRNA". It matches the Rfam family "Bacterial small subunit ribosomal RNA", at positions 1064 to 1382 of the family's 1533-position model. The record is from RNAcentral. Lineage: Bacteria; Bacillati; Bacillota; Bacilli; Lactobacillales; Streptococcaceae.